Molecule: ribosomal RNA, 467 nt
Filed under: uncultured bacterium
Lineage: Bacteria
Description: partial 16S ribosomal RNA
Rfam family: Bacterial small subunit ribosomal RNA
Source: RNAcentral
GAUGAACGCUGGCGGCGUGCUUAACACAUGCAAGUCGAACGGAAAGGCCCAAGCUUUCUUGGGUACUCGAGUGGCGAACGGGUGAGUAACACGUGGGUGAUCUGCCCUUCACUUCGGGAUAAGCCUGGGAAACUGGGUCUAAUACUGGAUAGGACCACUUCCUGCAUGUUGUGGUGGAAAGUUUUUGGGGUGUGGGAUGAGCUCUCGGCCUAUCAGCUUGUUGGGGGGGUAAUGGCCUACCAAGGCGUGGGCGGGUAGCCGGGCUGGGAGGGUGUACGGCCAAAAUGGGACUGAGAUACGGCCCAGACUCCUACGGGGGGGAGCAGGGGGGAAUAAUGCAAAAGGGGCGCGAGCCUGAUGCAGCGACGCCGCGGGGGGGAUGACGGGCUUCGGGUUGUAAACUCCUUUCGGUAGGGACGGAGCGUUUUGUGACGGUACCUGGAGAAGAAGCACCGGCUAACUACGUG